Molecule: unclassified non-coding RNA, 406 nt
Filed under: uncultured Ascomycota
Lineage: Eukaryota; Fungi; Ascomycota
Description: sequence contains ITS2
Source: RNAcentral
AACUUUCGGCAAUGGAUCACUGAGGAGUACCGGCUUGACCGCCCAAAUACAGAUAAUCACCGAGGACUCCAAAGCGACCUUUUCGAACUUCGCCGCCCAACGUAUCAAUAACGUUGAUAUGCUUGAGAAUCGGUCCGACUCCAACGUCCACAUAGGGGUUAACCCCGUGAAAUCCAGUGUGGCCGCUGACCCCGGCCAGCCAGCCCGUCGACCGUGAUUUGCCAAGGUUCAGUCGUCGUGACCAAUGGUUGUUCGACGACCUUUGCCUCUUCUGGUGUACCAGCCCAUCCGGCAAUAGGUGCAAGAAAGAAAACUGUUACUACGCUCAGCUUAGCUAGGAAAUUCAUAUUAAGCGCAAUUUACAGCUUGGCUCGAGAGAUCCGUUGUCAAAAGUUCGAUGACGCCA